GCACUUGUAGCGAAACGGCCAAAACGCGAAGGUCUGCAAAACUUUUAUCUCAUGGUUUCGAAUCCCAUCAAAUGUUCCA
This 79-nucleotide transfer RNA is filed under the name Paenibacillus sp. Soil766. RNAcentral's name for it is "tRNA-Cys". It matches the Rfam family "tRNA". Rfam says of the family: Transfer RNA (tRNA) molecules are approximately 80 nucleotides in length. The record is from RNAcentral. Lineage: Bacteria; Bacillati; Bacillota; Bacilli; Caryophanales; Paenibacillaceae.